CAAACUCCCUCCCUUGCUUCGCUGUACCCUCCCCCAACUCUGCACCCCUCCCCCCAAUCUCUCAGGCUGUGUGGCCUCUCCUCCUUCUUCCCCAGGCGGCCCCAUCCUCAGCCCUGUCCUCAUCACCCUCCCCCAAAGUGGACACAAGCCCCUCAUGGCUUCAGCUGCCAAGAUCCAAAACAUCAACCUGAGGUCACAACAGCAACAUUUAAGGAACUUGCGUGGGUCAGGCCCCGCCGUAGAGGUGUUCCGGAGGUAUCAGCCAGCUGGUUGAACCUCACCACAGCGCAGUGAGUAGAUGCUGUUACACGAGGAACACGAGGCCCAGAGAGGUGAAGUAAUUUUCUGUAGGGGGCAGAGCCAGGGUUCAAACCCAGGCAUCUCCCAUACUUCCCUUCCCCUUGUCACCCCUCUGACUUCCAGCCCAGACCUCCCACCCUGGCUUCAGGCUGGACCACCCCUCCCAGUUUCUCUUGAGCCCCCAGCAAGGGGGUCACCAAGCCUGUCUGGCUCCUACCAUAGCUCCCAUCUCCGUGUCAAGAAUUGUUUGUUCCAGGUCUCCCGCUAAACCUAGACUGGGAGCAUCUCAGGUCCCCUUCAGUCACGGCCAUGUCCCCACACUCAGCCCGGCAAGCUUGGCACACAGUAGGGCCUGAGUCCCUGUUCUAGAAGGAACAAAGGCUUUCCAGCUCAGAAUCUGGCCAGAGCCUCCCCCACAGUGCCCUCUGCUGGUCAGACCAAACACUGCCCUGGGGCCUUCCAAACAUCAGCGCGCAACUGAUCCCCGUCACCCUAAUAACCCCCUGGGUUUAAAAAGCUCCUUUCUUCCUCUGAGCUCAAAGCACUUUCCCAUCUGUGAUCUCCCUGGCUUGGGACCAGCUGCAGCAUUUCUCUCCCCACUUUACAGAAGCAAACCGAGGCCUGGAGAGGGCGAGCCCCGGCGUGCUGCUGGCAGAUCCAGAAAAGAGCUUGCUUCCCGGAAAGGCCCCAGGCAGGGCUGGGCCUCCAGCGAAACAGGACUGGGGAGGCUGGUCCGGGUCUCAACAGCACCUGAGACUGGGAGACUGGAAGGAAGCUGGGUGUGCAGAGGAGGAAACAGGAUGGGGCUUCCUGUUGCCCUUUGGAUAAAGGGCAGAUUUCCGUGUGAGACCCUGUGGAAACCGGCUCCGUUAACCCGCUCCUCCCGCUCUGUGCUCCAGCCACCACCACAGCCCUCUCGUCCUCCUGGGAGUCUGUCCCUCCUCCCACCUCCCGACCCUUCAGACUGUUGUUGCCCAUGCCACUCAGGCUGCCAGGCCGAGUCCCACUUCCCCCUUCGGCUGUGGACUCGGUCACCAUCUCUUCCCCCAGAUGCCUCCUGGGGCGCCUAAAGCCGGGUAAGGCCCCUCUCUCCCACAGUCAACAGCUCUCUCCUAGCACUUCUCGGGGUUGUGAUUCUCAACUUACCUGGGCCGUUACCGGAUUAAUGUCUCCCUCCCUCCAGCUCUUCUCCCUCCCCCAGUGAAGAGGAACCUCAUCUGUCUCAUUGAUGCUUAAUCAGUGCUACGCAGGGCUGGGCACAUACUAGGUGCUCAGUAAACAUCAGUCAGAUGAAGGAAAGGUUGCUUGAGUCAGUCUUGGCCCUAAUCAGUUUCUAGAUGUGUGACCUUGGACAAGUCUCACUUUCUGUCAUUCAGUUAACGAAUACUUACCGAGCACCCAUUAGGCACUGUUCUGGGCAUACCCGUCAAACGCAGAUCUGCUGGGCUUCCAACUGCUUUCCUGAGAAACCAGUACUGAGAUGUGUGAGGCCUGGAGAUGGGCAACCCGGAAGUCUUGUCCUCUCCCACUGGCCCCCCACCGAGACAUCAGAAAAGCCAGUCCCCUGUACGCCCCUCAGUAUCCCUGCCUCGAUACCUUUGUGCACGCAGAGCACUCCCCCAUCUUUGCCUGCCGAGGUCCCGCUCAACCUUCAAAUUCCCACGGCAGGGUCACCAACACCUUGAAGGCAUCCCCACGAUCCUUGGCAGAAGCAGUUCUGCUCUUACAACACUCGGCUGGCAUGGGGAUACACCAUUGUCCACACUGACCCAAGCUCUUUAUGCACAUGGCUCCCCCCGCCCCGGCCAUGCCACCCCGGAUCCCAGAAGCACCUGGGCUUAGACUGAGUGUGAUUCAUCACUGUAAGCGUCCGGUUGAUUGAUCUUUCUCUGGUCAGCCCCUGCAGCAUCUACUCUCCACGCUCCAGCGCCCAGCCCAGGGCCAGGCACUCAGCGCUGGCUAGUGAAUGUCUGUUGCUAAGAACAGCAGCGGCAGGCCAUAGAAGCAGGGGCUCUGGAUGGAUCCCCAAAGUCCUGAUGGGAGAAUGGGAUUCAGGGCACCGCCUGGGCACUCUCUCCCCUGGUCCCCUCACUCACGAGGGCCUCUUUCUCUCCCUGCUCUCCCACAGAUGGUGAAGCAAGGAGGGGACUGGGGGGAGGGUAACAGAAGGUCACAGGGCAGAUGGACUGUAGGCUGCUCUGGGAAAGGACAGCUUGCCCCCGGGGAAGGACAACCACACAUCUUAGAGCUGUCUGGGAAUCUGGGAAUCAUCAGCUUCAGCAAAAUUCCAAGGACUAGGAAGGUGAAUGUGGGCGCACAAGGGGGAGCGGCCCACCCCUGCGAGGCCCUGUUUGCAGUGAGUGCCAAGCUGGGCCGACAGGCAGGCGACCCCGGUUUGACUCUCUAUCAAUUUGCUGUGUGACCUUGGGCAAGCCCUUGCCCCUCUCUGAGCACCAGUCUGCACACGGACAGGAUUGAGUCAGUGUGGAGCUGACCAGCACGAAUGUCAGAGGCUGGGAUAGCCAGGGCCACCCCACCGCACCCUGGUCAUGUCUCUGAGACGGUGAGCGGGGGACUCUGCGUGGGGCCACUGCCCAGCCUCAUCCACCUGUCCCUGUCUUAGGCUAAAGGGGCACAGUGGGCUCCCCAGGCAUCCUCUCCCCUGCGAACUGCCCCGUUCUCGGCUGGGAUCCCCCCCCCCCCCGUCCCUCCCACCCCCAGAGCUGCUAGGCUGCCAGCUGGGAACAUCAGGAGCUGUGACCAGCGUCCUGCGUCAUGGUGAGUCAGAGCCAUCCCUCCAAGCCAAGCCCAGUCACCCCACGACAAGAAGAGAAAGGACACCUUGCCCCCCCUGCCCCAGGCCAUACAGGAAGGGUUCCUCUCUUCUUUCCUUUUCCGCACUAGCCAGGCCCACACCUGGCACUGUGCAAGGCACGGAGGCAUCCAGGGUGACCUGGACAGACUGUCCCUUCAGAGCUAUCCUCCCUCAGGCCAGAGUUGGGGGGUGGGGGCUGCUCUGAGAGGGGCAGCACAUGGGGGGCUCUGAGCACACGUGGCUGAACUUAGCACUGACUCUAAGGCUGGCACAUCUCUCUCGUUCACACCAGCACAUAGUAGGCACUUCACGCACAUUCAUUGAAUGAAGAUUCCUCAGGCUUCCCGUGGGCGUAGAGAAACUUGGUGAGGCAAGAACGCAUCACACCUGUGUUCACCGUCACUGUUACUCAUUUUUAGCCCUAAGUACCUAC
This is a long non-coding RNA of Felis catus (domestic cat), 3548 nucleotides long. RefSeq lists it as uncharacterized. The record is from RefSeq and is a predicted model, not a curated record. The transcript is spliced from 2 exons. NCBI's taxonomy places the organism in Eukaryota, Metazoa, Chordata, Mammalia, Carnivora, Felidae.